RNAcentral lists this non-coding RNA (27 nucleotides) under Homo sapiens (human). RNAcentral also lists the same sequence under 1 other name. The record is from RNAcentral. Lineage: Eukaryota; Metazoa; Chordata; Mammalia; Primates; Hominidae.
CACAGAAGUCCAUCUAUUACAUCACUG